CCAGAGGCCCAGAGACCCGCAAUGUCACAGAGAUAGACUCACAGCUCUAGAGAAAUGGAAGUGUGGAGAACCCCAAAGACAGUGUGGGGGUGCCGGCUAUAAAAUCCAGGAGUGACGACACCAGCCAGGGCCCUGUCUCCUAGACUCCUCCCAACUCGGGGACGAGGCUGCUACCUGCACCCCUGUGCCCCCAGAGAGGAAACCACUUGUCCAAAGUCAGCCGGCUGCAGGUGCAAAAGACUGGAAUCAUCAGUAAAGCUUGGAAAAGCAUGGAGGCUGCAAGUGGCUCUUCAGGAGAGUGACUCCAAAGCAGAGGUCAGAGUUCAUAGGAUUAAGUGGACAGCUCUCAGUUUCACAGGUAGGGGUCAAAGCAAAGAGAGCACAACCUAGUAAUGGGAAAACCCAAGUUGUCCUGUAAGCACAAUAAAGACUUUAGCCAAUUCUACCCAGUGGUUAUACUGAAUCUUGACAAGAAGACUGUCUAGACAUUGCACACUGACUAGUUAUGAAAAUAACUUUAGGCCAAUGAGAUGAUUUAAGGAGUGAUUAUCGAUGCUUGCUGCCAAGCCUGAUGACCUGGGUUUGAUUCCUGGGAUCCACUUUGUGGAAGCAGAGGACUGACAAUGGAGAGUUUUCCUCUUACCUCCACAUGAGCAUUUUGACAUACACAUGUGUGCAUGCACAAAAUAGCAACCUAAGAUAUAUCAAAUGACUGUAUUUAUUUUUACAAAUGUGUGUGUUUACAAGUGUGUAGACAUGCAGGGGCACAUUUAUGUGGGUCAUGAGACAACUUUUAGAAAUUGGUUAUUUCUUUCAUCAUGAGAUUCCCAGGGAUGGAUUCCUAGUUGUCAGGCUUGUUGGCACACACCUUUACAUAUUCACUGAGUCAUCUCACUGGCUUUAAUGAGUGAGAACAAUGAUUCUUAUUUGAACAAAGACUGGUCCAUUUUUCAGGCAGUGCUAAGAACUAGAGUUGGAAGAGCUUCACCCAACAGGAAGCAGGAAGCUUCAUAUACGUAAUGAAAGCCAAACAGGGAAACUCAGUCUUCCAUGCAACAGAGUUGGCAGGAGGGGUAUAAAGACAGAGUUUGAAGGGAAGGACUCAUGGUAGAGUUGGAAGGAUGGUCAUAAAAGAGUUGGGGAAGGUCCUGAAGGACAAAGUUGUUCAGAGUUGUCUGGAGCAGCCUUGUGGACGGAGUUGGGAGGAGAGACUUCAUAAACAAGGUUAGGAGGAAUGAUUUCAUGGAUAUAGUCAGGAGAAGUAGUCCCAAGGACAAAGAUGAAAAGAGGGAGCCACAUGGACACAACUGGGGAGAGGGGUGGUGAGAGUUUGAAUGUAAUUGGCUCCCAUAAUCUAACAGGGAGUGACGCUAUUAGCAGGUAUGAAUUUGCUGGUGUAGGUGUGGUCUUGUUGGAGGAAACGUAUCACUGUUGAGGCAGGCGUUGAAGUCUCAUAUAUGUGCAAGCCAUGCCCAGUGAUUCAGUCUACUUCCUGUUGCUUUCUGAUCAAGAUGGAGCCAGCACCAUGUCUACCUACCAUGAUGAUAAUGGAAUGAACUUCUGAAGAUGUAAGUGAGCCACUCCAAUAAAAUAUUUUCUCUAUAAGUUUUGCAAUGGUCAUGGUGUCUCUCCACAGCAAUAGAAACCCUAAUUAAGACAGGGACCCCAUAGACAAAGUUGAGGGAGGGGUGGGCUCAUGUAUCAGAUUGUGAGAGGGGCCCAAAGACAUGGGUGGGAGGAUGGACCUGAUGGACAUAGCUGGGAAGAGGGGUCUGAUGGGUAUUGUUUAGGUCAUGAGAAUUCCAGAUGCAUGGAUGUCUUCAGCUUAUCAAGUCAAUUUCUCUCUUCUUUUACCCUGUCACCUUAUACCAUGGGUUAUAGCAGCAAGGACUCCUAUGCUAAAAGCCAGCAUCUAGAGAUAAUAUUUCCCAAAAUAGUGAAGAACAAAUCUUUAUCUUCCCCAUUUUAUUCAUUUUUAUGCAAGUAUAGUGUGUGUAUUUAACAUAUCCUUUCCAUUUUCCUCUACCUUCCAUUUUCUUACCCUUCUCCCACAGCACUUGUUCCUCAAGACAAUUUUAUUUCAUUUUUUAAAAAGAUUAUUUGUGUGUGUGUGUGUGUGUGUGUGUGUGUGUUUGAGUAUGUCUGUGCACCAUGUGUGCAAGUGACCAUGGAGGCCAGGAGAAGAUGUUAAUUCCUUGGAAAUAUAAUUAUAAGAGGGUUGUGAGUUGCCAUGUGGGUGCUGAGAACCAAAUCUGUCCUUUGGAAGAGCAGCAAGUGCCCUUAAGCACUGAGCCAUGAUGUCAGUCCUGGUAUUUGCCUUCCUAGACUGACAUAUAUGAUUAUGUCCUGUUGUAAAUGGACAUUUUUCUCCCAACUGCCCUACCCAGCAGCUGCUUCCAAAUUGCCACACAUAGACAUAGUGUUAUUAUAAAUACUCAAUUGUUCAGCUUUCACAUUUUAAGUUAGCCCAUAUUCCUUAUUUACUCUCUAUGUGGUGAUAUCUGUUUUUACAUGGUGCUUUCAUCUUCUUCUCCCUCUGUGUCUAGCUGUCUUCUCUAGACUUUGCCAUUCUCCUUCCCAUUAUCUUCAGUUUGGUCACCAUGUUAUACUUCCUGCCUGGUUACUUGCAAUCAGAAUUGUAUUAAACCAGUUUACAGUUUACAAUAGGAUUAUUCCAUGGCAGUUAUUUUGCUUGUUUGUGAGUCAGGGUCUUACACAGUGCAGGCUGGAUUCACUAUGUAGCUGAAACUGACCUUGAAUUUUUUCUUCCUGCCUCCACCUCCUAAGUCUUAGCAUGACAAACAUAUGUCAGAACAGGUAACUUUAAUGGGAAUGUUUGGUACUCUUGGGACCAAGAAGGGGUAGAAAAAAAAAGAGGAAAAAAAAUCUGCAAAGGUGGAAAUAGAUGGGUUUUAUGAUAGGCAGACUUCUUUAUAGAAUUUUUUUAUGGUUUUAUUGUUUUGGCUCUUUUAUAUCAUUAAAGAAAGUAAUCUUUAAUAACAGUAUUUAGUUAUUUAAUUCCAUUUAGGUCAUGCAUCUUUUAUCUGAAAAGCCUUCACAUCUGUGAGGGUGAGUUUUGAACAAAGAUUGACAGCUUUCUUGAAGUAGAAGUAAAAUCACGUAUAAAAAUCUCUGUGGAAAACUUUUUUUUUUUGUCCAGACCAAGUGACCAAGAGAGAGGAAAGGAAGGCACCGAAAGUACAUUGCCCCCAACCCAUACUGUUUCUCACUAAUUAAACUUCAAAGCAAUUGAUCUUAUUAGAAAGAUCACAUGACAAGUUUUUCAUAGAUUCAUGUCUACCAAAGAUAAAAGCUUGAACAAAAAGCAUCAAAUGGACUGAAUCAUAUUAUCAAGCAUUUUCAGAAUAGGAAGGUGAGAGACUUAUAAUGUGUUCAAGUUGUGAUCCUUAGAAGUUCUUUCAAGAAGAAAAGAAAAGAAUAGGAAACGUGUACUAGUUACUUUUCUGUUGCUAUGAGAAAACACCAUGACUAUGGCAACUUAAGGUGAAAAAAAGAAGAGUUUUGUUUGUCUUAUGGAUCCAGAGGAUGACAAGUUCAUCAUACUCAGAAGAUAAAUCAGGGGGCAUUCAGGAAGCUGAGAGAUCAAAUCCUCAAACACAAGCCAAGAAUCAGAGAGAGCAAAGAGGAAGUACAGCUUCCAAGCUCACCCUCAGUGACACAUUCACUCCAGCAAGGCAGGACUUCUUACCUUGCCUCAAACAGUACAUCAAAUUGGAGGGUGAGUGUUCAAAUGCCCGAGCCUGUGAAGAGUGCUCCUCAUUCAAACCACCAAAGAAGGGGAAAUGGCUCAUUUUAUAAUUUUAUAUAGUUAUUGUGGCAGACACAAGAGUAUCUGAGUUUGAUAGCCAGAACCAAUGUUAAUACAUUAAAAAAACAAACAAAAACAAAAACAAAACCCAAGAAAGUAAAAACAAGUGUGUCGAGGGGGGUGGCGUGGAGGGGGCAGGACCACUAGUGCUAGGCCCCAGAGACUAGUGAAUCCCUGGGGCUUGACAGCCAACUAGCCUAACCUGCCCUGCAAGUUCCAGGUAGGGGGAAAAACCCUGUCUACUGAAAAACAACAAUAAUAAACAGGAUGCUCUGACCAAAAGCAAUUUAAGAAAGAAAAGGUUUACUUUAACGGCCAGUUCCUGGGUACUGCCCUUUAUUUCGGGAAAAUCGAAGGGGAAACUUCAAGCUCAUGGGCACAUUACAUUCAGAGAGAGAAUCAAUGAGUUAGUGUGUAGUCCUAAACUAGUUUUCUUUGCUCUGUACAAAUCAGACCCCAAACCCAAGGAAGAGUGCCACCUUCUUUCAGGCUAGGUUUUCCCACAUCAGUUAAAGCUACAAGGACAAACAUGCCCAUGGGACAACCUGACUUAGACAGUUCCUGAGGAACACACUUUCUUCCCCACGUGAUUCUAAGUUAUAUCAAACUGACAGUUAAAACCAGCCAACACCGCUUCCUUGUCAUUUUAUCUAACAGGUUUGGUAAGCAAGAAGGGCCAGCCCUCCACCUUUUGAACUUGACAGUGUGAAUUCUGGCCCUGGUUCUGUAUACCAUGUGAUGCUUUAAAGGCACGCCCUUCUGUUAGACUUCUCAUAGCAUCACCAGUGUGUGUGUAUAUGUGUAAGUAAGUGAGCCUGUAUCUGGUGCGUAUGUAUGUGGCUAAAAGUACAGGUACCCAAGGAGGCUGGAGAUGUCGGAUCAUUUGGAGCUGGAGUUGGAGGCCUUUGUGAGCAACCCAAGAUGGGUGUUAGGAAUUCAAUUCCUGUCCUCUGAAAGAGUGGCAUCGACUCUUAACCAGUAAGCUUUAUUUCCAUCCCAGAACAGUGUUUUCAGUGAGAAGUUGAACUAUCAUGCCCCAUUUAGGGAGUUAUCAUUUUGUGAAUGCCAGUGAGAAGUUCUACAUCAAAUAAUUAGGAACAUAAAUCCUAGAUACCUGUCUUCUAGUAGAACAGGGUCCCAGACUUUUGCACAAUGGAUUCCAUGAUGGAAGUACCAACCAAGUCAUAAAAUUGAGCACAUAGGCAUUACCACCUACCAAAAAUAAAAAUAAAGACCUAAUCUAUUAAAGAUCAUACUUCUGGGAAAGUAUCUACAUGUACUAACAUUGCUUUUUUGGCUUCUGCUGUUCUGUUUAUGGCUAACUGUUCUUGUUAGCUGAAGUAUGACAACUCAGAAUAUGGUUUUGGUGCUUAAAAGCUCACCCUGAGGAAAGUUUUGGUCUACACUGGGAUCCUGAACACCUAGUAUAGUCCCUGGCUGGCCAAUGAAGACUUCCUAUUGACUCAAAUCUGUCUUAACACUCUUCUUUCCUGGAUAUCCCACAACACUCAGGAGCUCACUGGCUAGUGUGGAGAUGUCAAGAUGAACACACCCUGAGAUUUUUAUCAUGAUAUGAAGAAGAGUUUGGUGCUCAUUUUCCCGUCUUUGGUGCUUAACAAAUGAAGCUUUCCCUAGGCAAACUUAGCAGGGGUUCUGCUGCCAUGGUUUCUUUGAGUUGUGACUCAGUUUCUGAACUUGGUAUUUUAGCUAUGGCAUGAUGUCAAAUGCCCAAUCCUGUCAUAGAUUAUUUUUUAUGUAAGUUAACCCAAAUCAGUUAACUUGGCAAACAAAUUUCUUGCUAUUAGAGUUGUUAGAAUGUUAAAUAUUUCAGUGCCAGUCUGUAAUCAUCAUUACCUGGUGUAAUGUGUUGUCUUUCCCGCCAGCUGCCUGGGCCCUGCUGAGCUGUCUGAACCUCCAAAUAACACACAAGACACUCUAUUAAUUAUGAAGCUGUUGGCCAUCUAUUGUUUCUCAUUGGCUAACUUUGACUUAAUUAUUGACCCAUAAUUGCCAAUAUAUAUUUUUAUAAGGACUUAUCUUUUCGAGAAUGCAGACUUGCUUCCCUUCUUCCUUGGAAUCACAUGGUGACCACUUCCUUCACUACAUUUCCCAGAAUCAUCCUAGACUCCUAGUCCCACCUAUCUUGCUUCCCUACUGGCAAACAGUACUUUAUUUACAUAUACACAUAA
Molecule: long non-coding RNA, 6018 nt
Organism: Mesocricetus auratus (golden hamster)
Lineage: Eukaryota; Metazoa; Chordata; Mammalia; Rodentia; Cricetidae
Exons: 4
Source: RefSeq, a predicted model, not a curated record